RNAcentral lists this ribosomal RNA (361 nucleotides) under Erwinia sp. B116. RNAcentral's name for it is "bacterial LSU rRNA". It matches the Rfam family "Bacterial large subunit ribosomal RNA", at positions 1 to 389 of the family's 2925-position model. The record is from RNAcentral. Lineage: Bacteria; Pseudomonadati; Pseudomonadota; Gammaproteobacteria; Enterobacterales; Erwiniaceae.
GGGUUGUGAGGUUAAGCGACUAAGCGUACACGGUGGAUGCCUAGGCAGUCAGAGGCGAUGAAGGGCGUGCUAAUCUGCGAUAAGCGUCGGUAAGGUGAUAUGAACCGUUACAACCGACGAUACCCGAAUGGGGAAACCCAGUGUGUUUCGACACACUAUCAUGUCAUGAAUACAUAGUGGCAUGAGGCGAACCGGGGGAACUGAAACAUCUAAGUACCCCGAGGAAAAGAAAUCAACCGAGAUUCCCCCAGUAGCGGCGAGCGAACGGGGAACAGCCCAGAACCUGAAUCAGUUUGUGCGUUAGUGGAAGCGUCUGGAAAGUCGCAGGGUACAGGGUGAUACUCCCGUACACAAAAACGCA